UCCCUGGUGGUCCAGUGAUUAGGACUCAGCGCUUUCACUGCUAGGGCCCAGGUUCAAUUCCUAGUAGGGGAC
This 72-nucleotide transfer RNA is filed under the name Ovis aries (sheep). It matches the Rfam family "tRNA". Rfam says of the family: Transfer RNA (tRNA) molecules are approximately 80 nucleotides in length. The record is from Rfam by way of RNAcentral. Lineage: Eukaryota; Metazoa; Chordata; Mammalia; Artiodactyla; Bovidae.